ACCUAAAUAAACCCAUUAUAUUAUAAUUUAUUAAACGGCACCAGGAAAACCGCUCGAGAUCGCGUGCGCGUAUAAAAACGCGCCUAGUGCCGACCGACCGUAACUCGUUAAUUCGCAGACACGUGCGUUUCGACGAUCGUUAUCGGCCCGAGGACUGAAUUUUUUUUUUCGGUUUUUUUUCUCUGACCUUCGGCCCCAGCGGUCGGUCCCCUUGUCGAUUUCGUAAUGCUGGACGACGUGAACGAACGACAUUCCGCACGCAAAGUAUAAAACCCGGUCGCUCUUGUUAUGUGUUUCACCCGGUAUAUAUUACGAACGUGUCGUCAAGAGAACGCUACAUAGUGUGCGUUUCCGUCUUAUGAACAUCCGAUGUAGAUAUACACCGCACGCUAUACGCCAGACUAUACGCACAACUCGCUAAGUUUUGGUUUUAGAGAAUAAGAAAAGCACCUAUAUUGUGAAAUUAAUAGAGAACGAAGGAGGGCGAGACGUUGCGUUUU
This is a non-coding RNA of Cinara cedri, 500 nucleotides long. The record is from the annotation of a GenBank genome assembly. NCBI's taxonomy places the organism in Eukaryota, Metazoa, Arthropoda, Insecta, Hemiptera, Aphididae.